AGCGGAUCCGAGGUAGUGCGUUACCUCCAUUGGUUAUGUAGUCAGUAACAGAUCGAACUUGUUCUACUCUGUUACCCUCUUUUCAUUAUUGCAUUUGACUAGUCUAAA
RNAcentral lists this non-coding RNA (108 nucleotides) under Cebus imitator (Panamanian white-faced capuchin). The record is from RNAcentral. Lineage: Eukaryota; Metazoa; Chordata; Mammalia; Primates; Cebidae.